AGCAGCCGCGGUAAUUCCAGCUCCAAUAGCGUAUAUUAAAGUUGUUGCAGUUAAAAAGCUCGUAGUUGAAUUUCGGGGUUAGUAGGUUGGUCAUGCCUCUGGUAUGUACUGGUCUCACUGAUUCCUCCUUCCUGAUGAACCUUAAUGCCAUUAAUUUGGUGUUGCGGGGAAUUUGGACUGUUACUUUGAAAAAAUUAGAGUGUUUAAAGCAAGCUAACGCUUGAAUACAUUAGCAUGGAAUAAUGAAAUAGGACGUUCGAUCCUAUUUUGUUGGUUUCUAGGAUUGACGUAAUGAUUAAUAGGGAUAGUUGGGGGCAUUAGUAUUCAAUUGUCAGAGGUGAAAUUCUUGGAUUUAUUGAAGACUAACUACUGCGAAAGCAUUUGCCAAGGAUGUUUUCAUUAAUCAAGAACGAAAGUUAGGGGAUCGAAGACGAUCAGAUACCGUCGUAGUCUUAACCAUAAACUAUGCCGACUAGGGAUCGGAUGAUGUUAAUUUUUUAAUGACUCAUUCGGCGCCUUACG
This 522-nucleotide ribosomal RNA is filed under the name uncultured Glomeromycotina. Its description in RNAcentral is "SSU rRNA". It matches the Rfam family "Eukaryotic small subunit ribosomal RNA", at positions 569 to 1092 of the family's 1831-position model. The record is from RNAcentral. Lineage: Eukaryota; Fungi; Glomeromycota.